This 281-nucleotide ribosomal RNA is filed under the name Escherichia sp. RNAcentral's name for it is "partial 16S rRNA". It matches the Rfam family "Bacterial small subunit ribosomal RNA", at positions 415 to 687 of the family's 1533-position model. The record is from RNAcentral. Lineage: Bacteria; Pseudomonadati; Pseudomonadota; Gammaproteobacteria; Enterobacterales; Enterobacteriaceae.
UCUUCGGAUUGUAAAGCACUUUAAGUUGGGAGGAAGGGCAGUUACCUAAUACGUGAUUGUUUUGACGUUACCGACAGAAUAAGCACCGGCUAACUCUGUGCCAGCAGCCGCGGUAAUACAGAGGGUGCAAGCGUUAAUCGGAAUUACUGGGCGUAAAGCGCGCGUAGGUGGUUAGUUAAGUUGGAUGUGAAAUCCCCGGGCUCAACCUGGGAACUGCAUUCAAAACUGACUGACUAGAAGUAUGGUAGAGGGUGGUGGAAUUUCCUGUGUAGCGGUGAAAU